RNAcentral lists this ribosomal RNA (465 nucleotides) under Vreelandella stevensii. RNAcentral describes it as "partial 16S ribosomal RNA". It matches the Rfam family "Bacterial small subunit ribosomal RNA", at positions 338 to 795 of the family's 1533-position model. Lineage: Bacteria; Pseudomonadati; Pseudomonadota; Gammaproteobacteria; Oceanospirillales; Halomonadaceae. The record is from RNAcentral.
CCUACGGGGGGCAGCAGUGGGGAAUAUUGGACAAUGGGCGAAAGCCUGAUCCAGCCAUGCCGCGUGUGUGAAGAAGGCCUUCGGGUUGUAAAGCACUUUCAGUGGGGAAGAAAGCUUUGGGGCUAAUACCCUCGAGGAAGGACAUCACCCACAGAAGAAGCACCGGCUAACUCCGUGCCAGCAGCCGCGGUAAUACGGAGGGUGCGAGCGUUAAUCGGAAUUACUGGGCGUAAAGCGCGCGUAGGCGGUCUGAUAAGCCGGUUGUGAAAGCCCCGGGCUCAACCUGGAAACGGCAUCCGGAACUGUCAGGCUAGAGUGCAGGAGAGGAAGGUAGAAUUCCCGGUGUAGCGGUGAAAUGCGUAGAGAUCGGGAGGAAUACCAGUGGCGAAGGCGGCCUUCUGGACUGACACUGACGCUGAGGUGCGAAAGCGUGGGUAGCAAACAGGAUUAGAUACCCGGGUAGUC